GCAAAGGUAGCAUAAUCAUUAGUUCUUUAAUUGUGAUCUGGUAUGAAUGGCUUGACGAGACAUAAGCUGUCUUAGAGGUAUUGAUUUAUUGAAUUUGGUUUUUGAGUUAAAAUUCUUAAAUGUUUUUAUGGGACGAGAAGACCCUAUAGAGUUUAACAAUUUUCUUAUUUGUUUAUUGUUUGUUUUAGUUUUAUUAAGUAGGAAAUAUUGUUUUGUUGGGGUGAUGGGAGGAAGUAUAUUUAACUCCUCUUUGUUUUUGUAUAUUUAUUUAUGUUUCUUUUGAUCCAUUUAUUUUGAUUAUAAGAUUAAAUUACCUUAGGGAUAACAGCGUUAUCUUCCUUGAGAGUUCUUAUUGGCGGGGAGGUUUGCG
This 370-nucleotide ribosomal RNA is filed under the name Nasutitermes kinoshitai. Its description in RNAcentral is "partial 16S ribosomal RNA". Lineage: Eukaryota; Metazoa; Arthropoda; Insecta; Blattodea; Termitidae. The record is from RNAcentral.